GCGGAUGGAGCUGAAGCCAGUCGAAGAUACCAGCUGGCUGCAACUGUUUAAUAAAAACACAGCACUGUGCAAACACGAAAGUGGACGUAUACGGUGUGACGCCUGCCCGGUGCUGGAAGGUUAAUUGAUGGGGUCAGCCGCAAGGCGAAGCUCUUGAUCGAAGCCCCAGUAAACGGCGGCCGUAACUAUAACGGUCCUAAGGUAGCGAAAUUCCUUGUCGGGUAAGUUCCGACCUGCACGAAUGGCGUAAUGAUGGCCAGGCUGUCUCCACCCGAGACUCAGUGAAAUUGAACUCGCUGUGAAGAUGCAGUGUACCCGCGGCAAGACGGAAAGACCCCGUGAACCUUUACUAUAGCUUGACACUGAACAUUGAGCCUUGAUGUGUAGGAUAGGUGGGAGGCUUUGAAGCGUGGACGCCAGUCUGCGUGGAGCCAUCCUUGAAAUACCACCCUUUAAUGUUUGAUGUUCUAACUCGGCCCCAUAAUCUGGGGUGAGGACAGUGUCUGGUGGGUAGUUUGACUGGGGCGGUCUCCUCCCAAAGAGUAACGGAGGAGCACGAAGGUUAGCUAAUCACGGUCGGACAUCGUGAGGUUAGUGCAAAGGCAUAAGCUAGCUUGACUGCGAGAGUGACGGCUCGAGCAGGUACGAAAGUAGGUCUUAGUGAUCCGGUGGUUCUGAAUGGAAGGGCCAUCGCUCAACGGAUAAAAGGUACUCCGGGGAUAACAGGCUGAUACCGCCCAAGAGUUCAUAUCGACGGCGGUGUUUGGCACCUCGAUGUCGGCUCAUCACAUCCUGGGGCUGAAGUAGGUCCCAAGGGUAUGGCUGUUCGCCAUUUAAAGUGGUACGCGAGCUGGGUUUAGAACGUCGUGAGACAGUUCGGUCCCUAUCUGCCGUGGGCGUUGGAAGAUUGAGAGGGGUUGCUCCUAGUACGAGAGGACCGGAGUGAACGCACCACUGGUGUUCGGGUUGUCAUGCCAAUGGCAUUGCCCGGUAGCUAAGUGCGGAAAAGAUAAGCGCUGAAAGCAUCUAAGCGCGAAACUUGCCUCAAGAUGAGUCUUCCCUGGGCCUUUAAGGUCCCUGAAGGAACGUUUAAGACUAAGACGUUGAUAGGCUGGGUGUGUAAGUGCAGCGAUGCAUUGAGCUAACCAGUACUAAUGAUCCGUGAGGCUUAACCUU
RNAcentral lists this ribosomal RNA (1176 nucleotides) under Serratia marcescens. RNAcentral's name for it is "bacterial LSU rRNA". It matches the Rfam family "Bacterial large subunit ribosomal RNA", at positions 1757 to 2925 of the family's 2925-position model. RNAcentral also lists the same sequence under 6 other names. The record is from RNAcentral. Lineage: Bacteria; Pseudomonadati; Pseudomonadota; Gammaproteobacteria; Enterobacterales; Yersiniaceae.